AAGGCUUUAAGUUAAAUAAACUAAUAGCCUUCAAAGCUAUAAAUAUAAGAAAAGUCUUUUAAGCCUUA
Molecule: transfer RNA, 68 nt
Filed under: Blaesoxipha lapidosa
Lineage: Eukaryota; Metazoa; Arthropoda; Insecta; Diptera; Sarcophagidae
Description: tRNA-Trp
Rfam family: tRNA
About the family: Transfer RNA (tRNA) molecules are approximately 80 nucleotides in length. Their secondary structure includes four short double-helical elements and three loops (D, anti-codon, and T loops).
Source: RNAcentral